UUCUAACUCAGUAGGUCUGGGUGGGACCUGAGAUUCUUUAUUCUAACAAACUCCUAGGUAACAGUCCUAGGCGCUAUG
Molecule: microRNA precursor, 78 nt
Filed under: Nannospalax galili (Upper Galilee mountains blind mole rat)
Lineage: Eukaryota; Metazoa; Chordata; Mammalia; Rodentia; Spalacidae
Description: miRNA (ENSNGAG00000004684.1)
Source: RNAcentral